UGUUUAAAAACUGCUUUUUCAACUGACAGAAAUGGGAGAAGAUAUUUGCAAACAAUGCAACUGAUUAAGGAUUAAUAUCCUGCCUUUCCCCUGUGGCCUCUGCCAAAGAUGGCUCGUCCUGUGGAGCUCCGGGUACGUGUGGGAUGAUUUGAAGGUAGUGCAUGCUUCAUCCUGCAGAGAGGAAAUAAUGACCAGGGUACAGUCUGCAUGUGAAGUUCACAGAUGCCAUCUCCUGUGUGAGAACCCUGCCCCUGUUGGCACCUCAGCUGCCUGACAGUCCUUGGUGAGACCCAGGGAUGUAACCUCAUUGUGAGUCAAGGAGCAUCUGUAGUUAAGUUUUGUGUGAUGAAAAUAGUUAACUGAUUUAUUUGUGGCUGUUGCUGUGGAGUAGUAGGC
Molecule: long non-coding RNA, 396 nt
Filed under: Oryctolagus cuniculus (rabbit)
Lineage: Eukaryota; Metazoa; Chordata; Mammalia; Lagomorpha; Leporidae
Description: lncRNA (ENSOCUG00000031235.1)
Source: RNAcentral